UUCAACAGAUUAAACUAAAGAGGAAGUGUUUUUACUCCAACAAUAUAGAAAUAAUGGAAUGCAUUCAGCACUCGCAUAGCCGUUUGACUCCUGUGUCAAUUAAGCAGUAUUACAAUUGUGAAAAAAGUUACAACUUGAUUUGCAGUAAAUGAAAUCCAUUUCUAGUUCGACCAUAACUUGCAGCAAACUGUUGAAACCAAAUGUUGACGUUAAAUGGCAUCAUUUGCUGCCAUCAGCACUGCCACCGCCAAAUAAGUACCCUAGGGAAGAUCCACCACCAGGUGCUGCUUGGACCUUGGUCGAACGCCUCUCCUGCAAUACAAAGAUUCAUAACACUUAAAUCUUCGAGCAAGCCUAGAAGGCGUUUAUGGUUUGGUUUGGAUCGAUUUUUCUUUAAAAUAAUCAAAUCAAGUAAGUCGAUUUUUUAAAUUUUAGAAUCAAACCAAAAUAAUUAAAUCGAUUUUUUCUCGAUUCGGUUUAUGUCGGGUUUUGUCGGUUUUAAAAAUUUUCAGUUAUUUGUCGGUUUUUUCUUAAAUAUUAGACAUGCACUAACAACCACAUAUUCCGGAGACCAUAUUUUCAACGUAACGCUAUCAAAUCAAUUGCUCUUAGAGAAAUCUAUUAUUUACCAAGAUAUAUUGAUGAUAAUUGAAUCAAAUAGUGAUAAAUAAUAAGGACUCAAUUAAAAAUAUAUUAUUUUUAAUACGAAAUGGAUUCUUACACUUAAAAACUACCAAUCAAACUAGAAUGUAAAUGUGAUGAAUUAUACUAAAAAUGCAAACUAUUAACAUUAACCAUUAAAUUUUUGAAACUUUGCAUAAAAAUAUACAUACAUAUAGGUGUAAUAAUAAAUUUGAAAUAGCAACUCCUAUGGUUGGUUUGGUUCGAUUUUUUUCUCAUUAAAAUCAAAACCAAACCAAAUUUGAUUGGUUUUUUAAAAUUCAAAACCAAAACCAAACCAAAUAAAAAAGUAUUGGUUUUUUUGGUCGGUUUGGUUUGGUUUUCAGUUUGGUUUGAUUUUUCGGACCUUUAUGAACAAUCCUAGUGCUGAUAUUUAUAACAUUCGUUUCAUCGGAUAGACAAGGAAAUCAAAGCCUAAAUAUGCAGACUGGUCGUGCCUAUCGAACCAGUUAGCCACAUCUUAUAACAUCUUACAGUAUACGAAGUAACGAGGAUUGAAGGGACAUGUCAAAACGAAACAGAAGUAUGUAUAUACAACAACAAGAACCCAGUAUAAUCCCACUUAGUGGGGCCUGGGGAGGGUAGUAUGUACACAGACCUUACCUCUACCCUUGGGCAGAGAGACUGUUUCCAAAUAGACCCCCGGCAUCCUUCCCUCCAAGAACUUCAUCCUGCAUUAAUUAAAAAUAUUUUAUUUUAUUUUUUAAAAAAAGAAAAAUGCUUUUAGAGCUUAAUUAAAUACAUGGUAGUGCACACAUAUUGCACUUUGCGUUUUAAGUUAUACUCAUAGUAUUAACGGCAAUAUUCAUUUCAGAAGACACCAUAUAAAGAUGACUACCCAUAGGAAGCAAACACUCACGAAAAGAGAGUCAGCAGCUCAGUGAUAGACAAGAUUGCAGCUGCAAAAAUCAACUUCUUUAAGACUUCCAUGUUGCAGUGCAAGUGAACCUCUACAAGAAUGUCUUACAGUUUCACGGCUAGUCCACUCAUUGAUCUUGCACGUAUAAAUCGUUAUCAUUAACUUACUUCAAAAGUAUGCAUACACAUGCACUAAUAAUAGGUGAAUGGGUUCAAAUAAGAAAAACCGUCUGGAUAGCGUAGCAUAGUAGAUUGUUGAAGAUUAUAAGUAAAUGAAAGUGACUCUUUUAUUACCCUCCCUAGACCCCACUUUGUGGAACUAUACUGGGUAGUUGUUGUUGUUGUUGUUGAAAGUGACUCUUUUACUGUUUAAGCUUUUAAACGAGAUGAUCACGCUAUUUAUUCAAUGUGGUACCAAAGCAAGCAGAGGUCCUAAGUUCAAUUCUUAAUAAAUUAAUUUCAUACUCUUAAACAGCUUAAACUUUUAGAUGAUAUAGCCAUACAAUUUAACACUUACAAGUUAAGAUACUGUAAAAAGCACUCAAAGUUCAAGAAAAAUAGCACCAGGAAUUAUAAGAAGUUGAUAGCUAACAUACUGUUAGAAAGUUGCCGCAGUUCUGGCCAUCAGCACGGAGAUAGUUGUUUGUGCUACUCUGAAUGCCUGCUGGAACAUUCUUGGUGUUAUCCACAGGUGGUGAAACAGCAGCAGGCUUUGAGGCAGGUUCAUUACUUGGGGCUUUUUCCUGGCUGCGAGUAGGUUGAGAAUUGUUACCAGGCUCUCCACUUCCAA
This 2329-nucleotide long non-coding RNA is filed under the name Nicotiana benthamiana. RNAcentral describes it as "long non-coding RNA (NBEN_LNC005432)". The record is from RNAcentral. Lineage: Eukaryota; Viridiplantae; Streptophyta; Magnoliopsida; Solanales; Solanaceae.